GUUAUUUUUGACAUUUCACAUUCAUUAAUAGCAAUUUGAGUGAGAUUUUAAUAGAAAGACUAAUUUGUUGACAAAAUAAUAUCUCAAAGACUAAAUUGUUUUUCAUAAGAAAGGGUAAAUUUCACCCAUCAUCCUUGAACUUAGGGCACUAUAACAAUAUCGUCCAUAAAUUUCAAUUUGUACCAUAACACCCCUCGACUUUAAUUUGGGGAACAAUAAACACCACACCAUCUCCCCCUCCUACAUGUCACUACCCCCCCUCUCUAUUUGUCCUUCCCUUUUACAUCCCCUCCUCUCUCGGCUUCACUUGAUGGCACCUUCCUCUUCCACUCCCCAUCCCCUUCUUUCAUCUCCUCCCUCCAUUAACAAAUCCCCUUCCAAUCAUAGCCAUAAAAUAAACAUCCCUCAUUCAGUUCAUGCAAAUGAUCAUCCUUGGUCGCACUUUCUCUAGCAAGCUCCUAAGAAUUUCAAAUCACCAUUAAAAAUUUAUUUUGCAUACAAACAUUGCAUGUAAU
This 515-nucleotide unclassified non-coding RNA is filed under the name Hevea brasiliensis (rubber tree). The record is from RNAcentral. Lineage: Eukaryota; Viridiplantae; Streptophyta; Magnoliopsida; Malpighiales; Euphorbiaceae.